GACGAACGCUGGCGGCGUGCCUAAUACAUGCAAGUAGAACGCACAGUUUAUACCGUAGCUUGCUACACCAUAAACUGUGAGUUGCGAACGGGUGAGUAACGCGUAGGUAACCUGCCUGGUAGCGGGGGAUAACUAUUGGAAACGAUAGCUAAUACCGCAUAAUAUUAAUUAUUGCAUGAUAAUUGAUUGAAAGAUGCAAUUGCAUCACUACCAGAUGGACCUGCGUUGUAUUAGCUAGUAGGUGAGGUAACGGCUCACCUAGGCGACGAUACAUAGCCGACCUGAGAGGAUGAUCGGCCACACUGGGACUGAGACACGGCCCAGACUCCUACGGGAGGCAGCAGUAGGGAAUCUUCGGCAAUGGACGAAAGUCUGACCGAGCAACGCCGCGUGAGUGAAGAAGGUUUUCGGAUCGUAAAGCUCUGUUGUAAGAGAAGAACGGGUGUGAGAGUGGAAAGUUCACACUGUGACGGUAUCUUACCAGAAAGGGACGGCUAACUACGUG
RNAcentral lists this ribosomal RNA (505 nucleotides) under uncultured bacterium. Its description in RNAcentral is "partial 16S ribosomal RNA". It matches the Rfam family "Bacterial small subunit ribosomal RNA", at positions 28 to 507 of the family's 1533-position model. The record is from RNAcentral.